UCGCGGGUCGUGGCUCGGCGACUGUCUCAGCGCCGUCAGCGGGCUCAAGUUGCAAGCAGAAGCAGGCCGCGGGUCCUGGCUGGCUGGCUUGCAAGUUGCAAGCAGCUUUCUCCACGCGGGUCGCGGGUGCCGGCUAGCUCCUCGCUCCUGCGGCUACGGUGCAGACUGCAGACGACCGCGCGGGCUCCAGCUUUGUCUCCGUCCGACCGUCUUAGUUACAAUUUGCCUCCUGCUAUCUAAUCUGCAUUGUGUGACUUUCAUUUGUUAGAAUCUAAGGAUAUUCCUUCACUUGUCACUGAUCUGACCAAUUUAGAGGACUUUGCAACAUAUGUAAAGCUUGCGAAUGAAGAGGUAUACAUGGUUCACUGCAC
Molecule: long non-coding RNA, 371 nt
Filed under: Zea mays
Lineage: Eukaryota; Viridiplantae; Streptophyta; Magnoliopsida; Poales; Poaceae
Description: long non-coding RNA NONZMAT001108
Source: RNAcentral